GUACGGAAGGCAGCAGUAGGGAAUUUUCGGCAAUGGGCGAAAGCCUGACCGAGCAAUGCCGCGUGAAUGAUGAAGGUCUUCGGAUUGUAAAGUUCUGUUGUUAGGGAAGAAUAGUAUAACGAGGAAAUGCGUUAUAAAGUGACGGUACCUAACUAGAAAGCCCCGGCUAACUAUGUGCCAGCAGCCGCGGUAAUACAUAGGGGGCAAGCGUUAUCCGGAAUUAUUGGGCGUAAAGAGUGCGUAGGCGGUUUAUUAAGUCUGGUGUGAAAUUUCACGGCUUAACUGUGAAGGGUCAUUGGAAACUGAUAAACUUGAGUACGGUAGGGGUAAGUGGAAUUCCAAGUGGAGCGGUGGAAUGCGUAGAUAUUUGGAGGAACACCAGUGGCGAAGGCGGCUUACUGGGCCGGAACUGACGCUGAGGCACGAAAGCGUGGGGAGCAAACAGGAUUAGAUACCCCGGUAGUCC
RNAcentral lists this ribosomal RNA (466 nucleotides) under uncultured bacterium. Its description in RNAcentral is "bacterial SSU rRNA". It matches the Rfam family "Bacterial small subunit ribosomal RNA", at positions 339 to 796 of the family's 1533-position model. The record is from RNAcentral.